GCAGGCCAGGGCCAACUGUUCAUUCAUCAACCUUUAAUCAACAUUACCUCCGACAAGAAAAAUAAAACAAGAGCAAGAGCCCGAAAAAGUGCUGCACAACAGCCGGAGGAGAUGGCAGAGGGGAGCAGCAUCGUCUAACCUACAUAAAAACUAGCAAAAACAAAGCCAAAAAUAUCCUGCAAGAUGAACAAAAGCCUUGGGAGGACCGAAAGCUCUUUAACGGCCUUUGUUUGCACUUAACUGUAAAAGGACCAAGGACCGGGUAAUAUCUUGUUGCUGCCCGGCCUGAACUUGCUGACCAGGUCAGCUCAUCAUGCUUGUAGUUCAGUUCCCCAGUACUUGCUCCACUCGGACACUUGAAACUUUAUGCUAAAAUACAGUUCAGCGAUUCACAGAUUACACUGGAGCAUCCUUAGCUCCUGCGCACGGACAGGACAUGAAAAAGCGUCGACUGUAAAUAAUGCUGGAUAAUUAUUUAGUUUGUUUUACCACCACCCACCCCUGCACUCCCAAACUCCCACAACACCGGAAGACCGGAACUUUACGCCACUUUACGGCGAAUCAAAACAAACUGGGCAGGACAGGACUGCGGCUGUCAGAUUUUAUGUCUUCGGCUCCUCAGAUAUUUUCACAUCAUAAAGAAAAAAAAAAAAUGGAAAGGACGCGCAGAUGAAAGUACUUCUGUGCGACGGCUCGCCGUUUAUUUAUUGCGCCUAUUUUGCGGUUUAGCGGUUUUAUGGCCACUUUAGGCCUUUGUUUUCCCGCCCGCAGCGAACCGUGUAAUUAUCUGCCUUAGCAGCGACUAAUUAGCUCGGCCCUGGCCUUUUGUUGUUGCCACGAUUGUACCCAGCUGCAACUUUGGCGCAAGUACUCAUUAAAGUUGGCCCAAACGCGGCCGGAUAAAUCAGCGUCACUUUUAAAUGUGGCCCAAAGUAAAUGGCCUACGGCGUUUGCCAGAAUUCACGGAAAUAUAUGUGUAGAUAAAAGCCAUCCGAAACAGGGCCCACAGUGUGGCGCUAAUUGAAAAUCCCUUCAAAUCCCAGACGAGCUGGCGAAACGAAAAUAGAUUGUCGUGCAUUGCGUACGAGAAAACGCAUUUGCAUUGGCCUGCGAAAUGCGGAGUGGCAAAAAUAACCGAAUGGCCAAAGCCACUUAACGCUCGUUCGCAAAAUCCAUUAAGUGCCCCGAGUUUUGUUGAAAUUUUAUUAUAUUCUCUGCGAUUUUUUCAAGCAAUAAAAUGGUCCUAAUUGGCUUAGGCAGCGAUUAAAAGCCAGCUAAGAAUU
Molecule: non-coding RNA, 1283 nt
Organism: Drosophila melanogaster (fruit fly)
Lineage: Eukaryota; Metazoa; Arthropoda; Insecta; Diptera; Drosophilidae
Source: Ensembl